UGCCAGCCGCCGCGGUAAUACGGAGGGUGCAAGCGUUGUUCGGAAUUAUUGGGCGUAAAGCGCGUGUAGGCGGUUCGUUAAGUCUGAUGUGAAAGCCCGGGGCUCAACCCCGGAAGUGCAUUGGAAACUGGCGAACUUGAGUACGGGAGAGGAAAGUGGAAUUCCGAGUGUAGGGGUGAAAUUCGUAGAUAUUGGAUGGAACACCUAUGGCGAAGGCAGCUAGCUGGACCGGUACUGACGCUGAGGCGCGAAAGCGUGGGGAGCAAACAGGAUUAGAUA
This 279-nucleotide ribosomal RNA is filed under the name uncultured bacterium. Its description in RNAcentral is "partial 16S ribosomal RNA". It matches the Rfam family "Bacterial small subunit ribosomal RNA", at positions 506 to 784 of the family's 1533-position model. The record is from RNAcentral.